RNAcentral lists this unclassified non-coding RNA (28 nucleotides) under Mus musculus (house mouse). RNAcentral describes it as "oocyte_clustered_small_RNA13467". Lineage: Eukaryota; Metazoa; Chordata; Mammalia; Rodentia; Muridae. The record is from RNAcentral.
UGGUCCUGAACUCACAAAGAUCCACCUG